AGAUGGCACAUCAUCACCCAGCUGUGCCUUUACUCUUGUGUCAUAAAGUAUACCAUCAUGCCACUUCUCCUUUACUCUUAUUUCACAAGCACAGUGAGAACCUCCUCUGAUGUCACCGCAGGUCCUUUUGCAGGUCCUGAAGAAAAGAAGAUACCAGCUGCGCAAUCAAGUGGAUUAGGUACUUCACGCUCAAAUAUGGAAGACCCCAGCUUUUGAAUACUGAACAUCAAUAAAAAGGAUUUAUUUCUAAUUCUUCUUUUAAAAAUACACAAAAACGUACAGUACAAUUUGUAAUUUAAAAGUUAAGGAAAGACACA
This is a long non-coding RNA of Bufo gargarizans (Asiatic toad), 317 nucleotides long. RefSeq lists it as uncharacterized. The transcript has 3 exons. NCBI's taxonomy places the organism in Eukaryota, Metazoa, Chordata, Amphibia, Anura, Bufonidae. The record is from RefSeq and is a predicted model, not a curated record.